GACGAACGCUGGCGGCGUGCUUAACACAUGCAAGUCGAACGGAAAGGCCCUGCUUUUGUGGGGUGCUCGAGUGGCGAACGGGUGAGUAACACGUGAGUAACCUGCCCUUGACUUUGGGAUAACUUCAGGAAACUGGGGCUAAUACCGGAUAGGAGCUCCUGCUGCAUGGUGGGGGUUGGAAAGUUUCGGCGGUUGGGGAUGGACUCGCGGCUUAUCAGCUUGUUGGUGGGGUAGUGGCUUACCAAGGCUUUGACGGGUAGCCGGCCUGAGAGGGUGACCGGCAAAAUGGGAAUGAGGAUAGGGCCCGACCUCUUCCGGGGGGAAGAGGUGGGAAUAAUGCAACAUGGGCGGAAGCCUGAUGCAGCAACGCCGCGUGCGGGAUGACGGCCUUCGGGUUGUAAACCGCUUUCGCCUGUGACGAAGCGUGAGUGACGGUAAUGGGUAAAGAAGCACCGGCUAACUACGUG
Molecule: ribosomal RNA, 467 nt
Filed under: uncultured bacterium
Lineage: Bacteria
Description: partial 16S ribosomal RNA
Rfam family: Bacterial small subunit ribosomal RNA
Source: RNAcentral